GGUCUUGUUGUUCUAUCUGAAAGUUUUGGCCAUUCUGUAUUUAAGGACUCUUUCAAGCGUGUCUUUGAAGAUGGAGAACAGUCUCUUGGUCUCUGUUUCAAUGGAAUACUUGAGAUUAACUGUUCCAAGGACGUUAAAAUUCAGGGGAUCAUUGGGCCUUGCACAUCUUUGGAAAAGAAAGGACCAAACCUUGCUGAUACAGUUGUGGGGGAGGGAAAU
RNAcentral lists this unclassified non-coding RNA (219 nucleotides) under Hevea brasiliensis (rubber tree). Lineage: Eukaryota; Viridiplantae; Streptophyta; Magnoliopsida; Malpighiales; Euphorbiaceae. The record is from RNAcentral.